GUUUGGUUUGUCCGUUCUGGGCUACUGUAGAAACAUCGCAGACUCCGUGAAAUAGGGAUGACCCGCUCCCUAUGUAGAUAUGAAGGACUCAUUCUAAGCCAACGAUAACACAGCGAUUCUUAUACACUAAUGCAAACAUAGUUAUGAAUAUUAUAUUCCAUUUCUGCUAAUAGAUCCCCCGAAAUGCUACACACUGUUCCUUUAAGACUGCUCAUGAGUUCCCACUGGCCAGAGUUUUCUCUCCUGUAUUUCCUCUCUCUGUUUUCCAGCUGUGAAUGGUAUGUGCAGUUACAUUCAGAAGCAUUAAAAUGAUGUGCAUUGAGUUAGUUAUUAAACAACCAAUAUACAGUAUGUUUGAGAAGGCAAUACACUUAAACUGUAGAAGUAAAAUCAUGCAGCUCGAAU
This is a long non-coding RNA of Sebastes umbrosus (honeycomb rockfish), 405 nucleotides long. RefSeq lists it as uncharacterized. The transcript is spliced from 2 exons. NCBI's taxonomy places the organism in Eukaryota, Metazoa, Chordata, Actinopteri, Perciformes, Sebastidae. The record is from RefSeq and is a predicted model, not a curated record.